CCUACGGGUGGCAGCAGUGAGGAAUAUUGGUCAAUGGACGAGAGUCUGAACCAGCCAAGUAGCGUGAAGGAUGACUGCCCUAUGGGUUGUAAACUUCUUUUAUAUGGGAAUAAACUGUUCCACGUGUGGGCUUUUGUAUGUACCAUAUGAAUAAGGAUCGGCUAACUCCGUGCCAGCAGCCGCGGUAAUACGGAGGAUCCGAGCGUUAUCCGGAUUUAUUGGGUUUAAAGGGAGCGUAGGUGGAUUGUUAAGUCAGUUGUGAAAGUUUGCGGCUCAACCGUAAAAUUGCAGUUGAAACUGGCAGUCUUGAGGACAGUAGAGGUGGGCGGAAUGCGUGGUGUAGCGGUGAAAUGCUUAGAUAUCACGAAGAACUCCGAUUGCGAAGGCAGCUCACUGGACUGCAACUGACACUGAGGCUCGAAAGUGUGGGUAUCAAACAGGAUUAGAUACCCCAGUAGUC
RNAcentral lists this ribosomal RNA (460 nucleotides) under uncultured bacterium. RNAcentral describes it as "partial 16S ribosomal RNA". It matches the Rfam family "Bacterial small subunit ribosomal RNA", at positions 338 to 795 of the family's 1533-position model. The record is from RNAcentral.